CCGGGUGAGUAACACGUGACUAACCUACCCUCGAGUGUGGAAUAACAUCGGGAAACCGAUGCUAAUACCGCAUAACAUCGCAAGAUCAAAGGAGCAAUCCGCUUGAGGAGGGGGUCGCGGCUGAUUAGCUAGUUGGCGGGGUAACGGCCCACCAAGGCGAAGAUCGGUAGCCGGCCUGAGAGGGCGCACGGCCACACUGGAACUGAAACACGGGCCAGACUCCUACGGGAGGCAGCAGUGGGGAAUCUUGCACAAUGGAGGAAACUCUGAUGCAGCGACGCCGCGUGAGUGAUGAAGCCCUUCGGGGUGUAAAGCUCUUUCGGCAGGAACGAUUAUGACGGUACCUGCAGAAGCAGCUGCGGCUAACUACGUGCCAGCAGCCGCGG
This 386-nucleotide ribosomal RNA is filed under the name uncultured bacterium. Its description in RNAcentral is "bacterial SSU rRNA". It matches the Rfam family "Bacterial small subunit ribosomal RNA", at positions 100 to 520 of the family's 1533-position model. The record is from RNAcentral.